AAGAGACAGCAGCAGCCACGGUAAGACAGAGGAUGCAAGCGUUAUCUGGAAUGAUUGGGCGUAAAGUGUCGGUAGGUGGCUUUUCAAGUCCGCCGUCAAAUCCCAGGGCUCAACCCUGGACAUGCGGUGGAAACUACCAAGCUAGAGUACAGUAGGGGCAGAGGGAAUUUCCGGUGGAGCGGUGAAAUGCGUUGAGAUCGAAAAGAACACCAAUGGUGAAAGCACUCUGUUGGAUCGACACUGACACUAAGAGACGAAAGCUAGGGGAGCAAAUGGGAUUAGAUACCCGAGUAGUCCCUGUCUCUUAUAA
RNAcentral lists this ribosomal RNA (310 nucleotides) under uncultured bacterium. Its description in RNAcentral is "partial 16S ribosomal RNA". It matches the Rfam family "Bacterial small subunit ribosomal RNA", at positions 503 to 809 of the family's 1533-position model. The record is from RNAcentral.